GAUUUAUAAACUAACUAUGCACACGGCGCAAGAGAGAGAACGCGGGAGACUUACACGCUAACUAUAUACAAUAUAUACAGUUCAAGCGAGGGUGGUCGUGCGCGCGCACGCGCAAGUACGCUACCAACGUCGGGAGCACCCUGGGUUCGGAGAGGUAGCACCCUUCUCCGUGAUCCCGUCUGGAAAGGAAGGCUCGGAGGAAGUCUCGGUCGAGGCUCGGGAGCACUCUGAGUUAUUUUGCUCGAGACGGGACCUGAUGCCGACUCGUCCGGCGAGCCGGCUUAUAUACCGCUCUGGCUGCUCUUACCUUUCAAUUUUCUCGGUGGGAAGUGGGUUUCCCCACGGUGGGGAUUACACGGGUAGAGGCACUCUAAGAGCGCCGGACUGGUGAUGAUUAUUGAGAACAAUAUUAAAAAAUAUUAAUUCAAAUAAACCUCUAAUAUUGCGUUCUGAUAUCAUUAGCAACAGCUAUAAAAGGUUUGCAAAUGGUAAAUUUGGUAUACAAACGGUUAAUGAUAAUUAGAAAAUCUUUCUACGAUUCUAAGAUACUGACAAAGUGAUACAACAAAGCUCUCAUGAUAUAAGUAUGAGGAACAAAAUAAACACAUUAGUAUCUGAUGAGUCUUUUGUUUCAUAUUUAUAUCAUACAGGUUAUCAAAGAAAUAUUCAGAUAAAUAUAAACGAGAAUGGAAGGAACCAUGAAAUUUAUAUGGGCAGUAAAGAUUGUGAUACUCAAGAAAAUGAUGAAAUUCCAGAAAAUUAUUUUACGUGUUUGAUGUUGACACAACAUUUAAAGAUUUGCUUAAUCCGAAUGAAAAUAUUGAUACUGAAAACGAACAUAUGAAAAUCUUAAUUUCUUCUACAUAUAAUUGUUCUAUAUCUGAUAAUAUGAAGAAAUGUUAGAGAAUUAAUAUUUAAUUCUAUUGAAGAGCUAUCAGAAGACAUAAGAGAUAUACACGUAUGUUAUCUGCAGAUGUAGGAGAUAUACCUGUGUUAUAUCAGCAGCAUACUGUCAAUGAUAUGAUAUUUUAUGAUAACAAGAAAGAAUGUAGCGAUGAAGAAUAUGUAUCUGCAGAACGAAGUUUUUCACAUAAUAGUGAAUCUCCACAAAAUAAUAUUUCAAAUAAUGGCAUCCGCUUCUAGUUUCAAUGAAUCGCAAAUUAAUACAGUUAGUUCAUGCAAUGACGAAUUAAUGUAUGUUAAAAACUAAAAAAGAAUCGACUAAAUGAAACUGCUGUAUUUUCUGUAUAAAGUUGCAAUCACAACUCGCAUGACAUUUGCAAACUGUACAUUAUGAUGAACCUGAUGUUAAACAAUUUAUCAUUCUACUAAAACGAAAUCCGGAAAGAAGAAAGAUAAUAAAUACUCUACGAAAUAUGGUACGACAUCACGCUCGAAAAUGUUUUGAAAAAGAUUCUCGAAAGAAUCAAAAUGUUGUAGCUAUUGGAGGAAAAAUUGCAGAUACAAUACAUCAACUAGCAAAUGAGACUUUAAAGAAUACAGUAUUUCCAGUAAUGCGAGAUGAUAUAGUAACAUGUAUUGUGAGAUAUGAUGAAUUAUUAAUCAUAUAUGCUAAUAAGUUAUGUGUCAAAUAUAAAUCCCAACCAGCACGAUAUGAUAAGGGCAUGUUUAUGCGUUUACAUCUUAAUAAAUUGAUCAAUUUAUUUGAUUAAUUCCUUACUCAGCGAAAUUCUUAUUGCUAAAAAUCAUCCCAAGAAUCAGCCAAGAAUCGAGCUUGGAUCACUUACUUUCCUUCGUAUGAGUGUUUUAACCAUUCGAUAACAUGUGCAAUAUUUACCACAAUAACCAGAUAAGAAAAGAACGCGUAAAGAAUAAAUAAAGAAUAUAUAAAUU
Molecule: long non-coding RNA, 1854 nt
Filed under: Pogonomyrmex barbatus (red harvester ant)
Lineage: Eukaryota; Metazoa; Arthropoda; Insecta; Hymenoptera; Formicidae
Description: uncharacterized LOC105423269, transcript variant X3
Source: RNAcentral